UACUACUAUAUAUAGUGGUGAGUAUCCGCGUCUGUCACAUGCGAGACCCGGGUUCAAUUCCCGGCCGAGGAGAAA
RNAcentral lists this transfer RNA (75 nucleotides) under Caenorhabditis briggsae. RNAcentral's name for it is "tRNA CBG28196". The stretch from base 10 to 64 matches the Rfam family "tRNA", at positions 10 to 63 of the family's 71-position model. From Rfam's summary of the family: Transfer RNA (tRNA) molecules are approximately 80 nucleotides in length. Lineage: Eukaryota; Metazoa; Nematoda; Chromadorea; Rhabditida; Rhabditidae. The record is from RNAcentral.